UGGCGAACGGGUGAGUAACACGUGGGUGAUCUGCCCUGCACUCUGGGAUAAGCCUGGGAAACUGGGUCUAAUACCGGAUAGGACCAUGCUUUAGUGUGUGUGGUGGAAAGUUUUUUCGAUGUAGGAUGAGCCCGCGGCCUAUCAGCUUGUUGGUGGGGUAAUGGCCUACCAAGGCGGCGACGGGUAGCCGGACUGAGAGGUUGGUCGGCCACAUUGGGACUGAGAUACGGCCCAG
This 235-nucleotide ribosomal RNA is filed under the name uncultured Actinomycetales bacterium. RNAcentral describes it as "partial 16S ribosomal RNA". It matches the Rfam family "Bacterial small subunit ribosomal RNA", at positions 96 to 334 of the family's 1533-position model. Lineage: Bacteria; Bacillati; Actinomycetota; Actinomycetes; Actinomycetales. The record is from RNAcentral.